This 253-nucleotide ribosomal RNA is filed under the name uncultured bacterium. Its description in RNAcentral is "partial 16S ribosomal RNA". It matches the Rfam family "Bacterial small subunit ribosomal RNA", at positions 524 to 776 of the family's 1533-position model. The record is from RNAcentral.
GACGAAGGGGGCUAGCGUUGUUCGGAAUUACUGGGCGCAAAGCGCACGCAGGCGGAUUUAUAAGUCAGGGGUGAAAUCCCGGGGCUCAACCUCGGAAUUGCCUUUGAUACUGUCUAUCUUGAGUCCGGGAGAGGUGGGUGGAAGUCCUAGUGUAGAGGUGAAAUUCGUAGAUAUUAGGAAGAACACCAGUGGCGAAGGCGGCUCACUGGCCCGGUUCUGACGCUCAUGUGCGAAAACGUCGGGAGCAAACAGG